This 535-nucleotide ribosomal RNA is filed under the name Saccharomycopsis fermentans. Its description in RNAcentral is "eukaryotic LSU rRNA". It matches the Rfam family "Eukaryotic large subunit ribosomal RNA", at positions 100 to 656 of the family's 3401-position model. Lineage: Eukaryota; Fungi; Ascomycota; Saccharomycetes; Ascoideales; Saccharomycopsidaceae. The record is from RNAcentral.
CGGCAAAGCUCAAAUUUGAAAUCUAGUGCCUUCGGUACUCGAGUUGUAAUUUGAAGAAUUUAUCUCCUGUCCAAACCUUUAUCUAUGUUCCUUGGAACAGGACGUCAUAGAGGGUGAGAAUCCCGUGUGAUUUUGGAUUUGGACUUUUGUGAGAUUUAUUCGAAGAGUCGAGUUGUUUGGGAAUGCAGCUCUAAGUGGGUGGUAAGUUCCAUCUAAAGCUAAAUAUUGGCAAGAGACCGAUAGCGAACAAGUACAGUGAUGGAAAGAUGAAAAGAACUCUGAAGAGAGGGUGAAAAAGUACGUGAAAUUGCUGAAAGGGAAGGGCUUUAGGUCAGACUUGGUGUUUAAUACUCAGUUCUCCUUGUGGGAGCUGCUCUUGUUUUUCACUGGGCCAAUAUCAGUUUUGGCGAUAGAGCACCUCUGGAAAUGUGGCUAUCUUCGGAUAGUGUUAUAGUCUGGAGACGAUCUAUUGCUGGGACUGAGGUCUGCGCUUUUGCUAGGAUAUUGGCAUAAUGACCUUAAGCCGCCCGUCUUG